This 235-nucleotide ribosomal RNA is filed under the name uncultured bacterium. RNAcentral describes it as "partial 16S ribosomal RNA". It matches the Rfam family "Bacterial small subunit ribosomal RNA", at positions 104 to 334 of the family's 1533-position model. The record is from RNAcentral.
CGGGGUAGAGUAACGCGUGAGGAACCUGCCUCAAAGAGGGGGACAACAGUUGGAAACGACUGCUAAUACCGCAUAAGCCCACGGCUCGGCAUCGAGCAGAGGGAAAAGGAGUGAUCCGCUUUGAGAUGGCCUCGCGUCCGAUUAGCUAGUUGGUGAGGUAACGGCCCACCAAGGCAACGAUCGGUAGCCGGACUGAGAGGUUGAACGGCCACAUUGGGACUGAGACACGGCCCAG